Molecule: long non-coding RNA, 4582 nt
Organism: Homo sapiens (human)
Lineage: Eukaryota; Metazoa; Chordata; Mammalia; Primates; Hominidae
Gene: PURPL
Product: p53 upregulated regulator of p53 levels
Source: Ensembl
GAGCUCUUGUGGUGACCUGGGAAUCAAUGUGUGAGGUGGUGCUAUGUAGCAGGAACCCCUCUUGCUUUGCAAAUAGUUUUUUGUUUGUUUUCCUUUUUGCCCAAUAGAGCCCUGCUCUACUGACCCUUCAAUGUGCCCGUGUGCCUAAAUAUUCCUGGUCGUGUGAAAAGAACCCAGGUAUUAGCUGAACUAAGGAGCACAAUUCUGCAACAUUUUGGCACCCAAACACGGGGCUUGAGAAAUGAAUGCAAUUGGAGAAACUGGUUGUUUUACCAGGCGUUGAUUGGAAAUGUGUGCUUCCCUUUAAGCAGUCAAGCUCAACUUGCAGAACUGAUGGGAACCCCUUGGGAAAACUGGCCUCAAAUGUUUGUCUACACAGUCCACAUACAGGGUUCUUAACCUGCGUUUUUACCUACAUUUUAGACUGACCCUGCUUGUGCCUGUGAACCAACCAACAAUCUCUGGCUGCAGCUCAGAAAGGACAAAAGAGAAUGGAUGAGGGAAACUUCCCAGGGCUUGUCUGGGUAUGCCCACAGUGGACUGGAGCCCAAAAUGCACACUGGAGGAAGUGGAUGGAGCCACGUGGAUGUCAUGCCUUAUGCAGGGGAGGAGCCUGCUCUCUUCAGCUCCUGUGGUAAUGUGGGAAUCGAUCUGUGAGGAAACACUUUCUGAAAAUGUCAGAACUCUUGAAAACAUGGAUGAGGAAAAGCAUAAGUACUGCUUUAUGCUUUUCUUAUGAAUUUUAAAAGAUGUAAUUUAAAGGUACUUUAAAGUGAUAUUUGUGCCCUUGUAACUGAUUCAAAGUAGACUGCUAAGGACAAUAAGUAAUAAGAGUCUACAAAUAUCAGUAAAUUAUGAGAAAAAACGGUCUAAUGGUACUUAAAAUUGCAUUGUGAUUUAUUAAAUAACAUUGAACAGCUCCACCUGUAACAUUAAGAUUCCAUUUGAGCAUAUAGAAAAUAUAUUUAUCGCAACCUGAAGUGAUUUGGAAAGUAUGCUGGGAAGAAAAUAUAUUUACAAAUUAGUCUCAGAGGGUAGGUAUCCUGUAGCCAGAUGGAAUAAGAAGAGAGGGAAGGGAGAUUUUGUUCAAAGGGGGAGCAUAAGCUAAGGAAUAAAGCCACAAACAAUGAUUAAAUUAGGUAAAGUGCAAUUAGCUGAAUAUUGCAUAAGCAUACAUAUGGGAAGAAGUGGAAAAAGGAGUGACAAUAUGAAGCUAAAGGGUUUGAAGUGUUCAAGAUAAUACUAGGCUUCCUAGCCUAUUCCGAGACAUCUUGUUUUAGAGUGCAAUAGAUAAGAACUCUAAGGAUGAAAGUAGGAGACAUGCAUUCUAGUCUACGUUUUGGUUAAUGGACUGAAAGUGAAAGAUGGACUGAAAUUGGGGGAUGGAAUAAAAAUGUGAUAGAAUAGAAAAUAGAAAAAGCAAUUAGCCUAAUGUCAUUGAUACUUAGAGAAAAUAUGGAAAAUAGUAAAUUAGUGAUAUAUAUCUUUUCUAAUUCACCAGGGUGAGUGAACAAAGGAAAUCGGAUUUAAAAGUAUUCAUGACAUAGAUGCAAUAAGGUUUCUCAGUCAGACAUAGCAAAUUGAGGGAAGGGAAGAUUUAGAGGAUUGGAAAAUGUCUUGCUUGUAGACUAAUAGGAUAUCAAUAAGCCAUAUGAGCAAUAAUUUGAAAUAGUUUUUGUAAAGUAUCAUGAAGGUAAACCCUGUUUAGAACAAAUUAGAUUUGAAGUACUUGUGACAAAUGCAAUUGACAAUGCCUUUAUGCAGCUGGAAAAUUGUUGCUUAGCAGAAAAGCUUGUGCUGGACAAAUAGAUGUCCAAAUUGAAUAGAUGUUUUCUUAAGCUGAACUAAUUGAGACAAAUAUCCUUAUUAAAUCAAAAAAUUAAAAAUUGAAAUAACUUACCUAUGAUAGGGUAAAUAAUGUUAUUAAUAUACACAAGAAAUAUGUGAUGUAUAUGUGUAUGUACAUAUGUAUACAUAGUAAUAAUACAUAGUGCUAUUUUUAAAUGAUAUUUUACAUAGUGCUUUUUUAAAUGAUUUUUCAAUCAUCGUUGUUGGUCUGUGUUAUUUUAAUCAUCAAAGCUGAUUGAUUUCUGUUUUUGUGUUUUUUUUUGUUUUUUUUGAGGUGGAGUCUCACUCUGUCACCCAUGGUGGAGUACAGUAGUGCGGUCUUAGCUCACUACAAACUCCACUUCCCUGAUUCAAGUAAUUCUUGUGCCUCAGCCUCUCGAGUAGCUUGGAUUGCAGGCAUGCACCACCACGAGCUGCUAAAUUUUUUGUAUUUUUUGUAGAGGGGUUUUGCCAUGUUGGCCAAGCUGGUCUCAAACUCCUGACCUCAAGUGAUCCGCCCUGGCUUCCCAAGCCCAGCUGAUUCCUGUUUAAAUAAAAACUUACAAAGAUCUUCCCACAAGUACUUUAUCUUACAAUUUACUGAACAAUAGAGGCAGUGAAGAUGUUUUUCAGAAAGCAAUUGUGAUCCUGACAUUUUCUUCUUAUAAUCCUGUGCUUUCCUCAUUUUUUUAUAUUAAAAGUAAUAGUUCUUGUGAUGGCAACUAGGAUUUGUAACAACAUGUACCCUCAUUUCCUGCAUGACCUUUUUUAUGUCACUUCUUCACAUGCAAAGUAUACUCCCUCAGUGUCAUUACAUUAUUUGAUUUUUGCCCUUUCCCUCACCUUUCCAUGUGUUUAUUUGCCUAUGCCCAUCUCCUAGUCACAUUUUAUCUAGUUAACGCCAACUUGACUUUCAAUGCUGUUCAAGAUUUACCUCAAUCUCAAGUGUUUUCUCUUUAUAUUCCAUACACGCUUAGCUUGGCUGCCAAUCCUCUUGGCUGCCAAAGAAUCCCAAAUUAUCUCUUUCAAAAAUACAAGAAAUAAAGGAUGGAGGAUAGGAAGGAGGGUGGUCAGGAAAGAACAAAGAAAGGAGGGGAGAGGAAAAAAAGAGAGAAAGAAAGAGAAUUAAAGUUAAGGAGGAAGAAUUUCACACUGAAUUAAAAUUGAUAAUAUUCAGGAAUGAUUUUAUAGUAGGCAUACAUUGAUAAAUAUUAGUUAAAUUAAUGAAUUAUUCCAAAAGAUCAUGAUUUGUAAAAAUUACCCUGAAGCACUUUAGGAAUAUUACAUUGAAAUAGGUAUGCAAUUUCUAAAGAAACUGGACUGCAAAAAUAGCCAUUGUGUGUACCUGUGGACCAGAAUAUUAUAUUUUGCUUAAGUUUGAAGUGUUAAAGUGCCCAACGUGCUCUUAUUUUAACCUAGCAAAUUUUCAGCAGAACUUAAGCUCAUAUAGUAUUUGAUUUUUUCAUUUCUCACAACUGUUGGAAUUCUGUUUUAUUGAAAAUUAUACAAUAAAAUGUUAAAAAAUCUUUGUUCCUGCAGUUAUGCAAUCUUAUGCCAAAGUCAAUAAAUUAUUAAAUUAAAAUCAAACCCACUAAGCCUAACAAUUUGAGAAAAUGAUUAUUAAAACAUAUACCAUUUAGAAGGGCAAUGCCUUUUUAAUAUUAUAGUGAAGACAACCCUAUCAAUUAUUUAAUACACCAAGAAUACAAGGAUAUAAAAUCUUUUUCUCUCAUAUAUCACAUUAUCUGAUGUAUUUAGCUGUGAUGACAUUCCAGAAAACAUCACUUUUUAAAAUUUCUAAGAUUUUAUUAUGUUGCUAGCAAAUCGAUUUUUUUCAAGUACUGUAACAAAAUCCCUAAAUGGGCUUUAUGAGAACUAUUUUCAGUGUGAUAUUAAUCAUAUUUUAUUUAUCAUCCAUACAUAGAUGGUAGCUUAUCUGGUAUUCCUAGUGUUUGAAGUGAAGAGUAACACACACACACAUCCCAAUACCAAUUUAAUUGAUAAAUAUAUAAUCAUUUGUUUUCAAAUAUUUAUGUUGAUACUUGCUUGUGUACUUACUUGUAAUGUAGGUCUGUAAAAGGGACUGUUUUCUUUCUGUGAAACUGAAGCUUAAAGCAGUGCUUGUCACAAAUUCAAAAUCACCUUGCUUUGUCAACAUUUUCAGAUGUUUUUGGCUCAGUCUGAUGACAGCAUCAGUGCAGUAAAGGGAUCUUAUUGAAAUGUUUUAACUAAAGAUAAAAUGCCACCACUAGGAGAAAAAUAAAAUCAAGGAAAUAAACAGAAAAUCAAUAAAUGUGAAAUGUAUUAUAAAUUUAUAUAAUAACAAUGUUGUAUGCUAUAAACAUCUCACUUUGUAAAAUUAACAAGAAUUCAGUGAGGCAGAUCAUUUUCUAUGUGUUCAGAAGUCAAGUCUUUGAUGGCUAAUUUUUAUAUUACUUCAUUACAAUAUCUCUACUGAAGCAAAAUAAUUGCAAAUCUUUUUGAAUGAAAUCAAUUUAUCUUUAAUUUUAGAUAAUAUUUGGUAUAGUUGGCAUAGUUUUGUCACAAAGCAUAGCUAACAUCAAUGUAGCCUUACGACUUCAAAUGUCUUUAUAGAUCUUUUCUGAAAUUGCAAAAUUUUACUUUGAAAUUAUUGUUAAUAUUUACGUUGCACAACCACAAAUGUAGAAAUAAAAUUAUAAAGUCUCCAGAUAAUGUUUUAUUUUAACCACACAUAUGUUGUGAUAGUUUCAAAUAAAUGAAAGCUCUACUGAUU